RNAcentral lists this microRNA precursor (196 nucleotides) under Oryza brachyantha (malo sina). Its description in RNAcentral is "MIR812 microRNA precursor family". It matches the Rfam family "MIR812 microRNA precursor family". Lineage: Eukaryota; Viridiplantae; Streptophyta; Magnoliopsida; Poales; Poaceae. The record is from Rfam by way of RNAcentral.
GUUAAGUUUAUUUUUCUGUUUUUAGAUACAAUGUUUUGACUUCUCGUUUUAUUUGAAUUUUUUUACAAUUAAUAUUUUGAUUGUUACUAGAUGGUAAAACAUGAAUAAUACUUUAUGUGUGACUAAUUUUUUAAAGUUUUUUUUUACCAAUUUUCAAAUAAAACGAAUGGUUAAAGCGUUAGACACCGAAAUUAAA